This 252-nucleotide ribosomal RNA is filed under the name uncultured bacterium. Its description in RNAcentral is "partial 16S ribosomal RNA". It matches the Rfam family "Bacterial small subunit ribosomal RNA", at positions 524 to 776 of the family's 1533-position model. The record is from RNAcentral.
UACGUAUGUCACGAGCGUUAUCCGGAUUUAUUGGGCGUAAAGCGCGUCUAGGUGGUUAUGUAAGUCUGAUGUGAAAAUGCAGGACUCAACUCUGUAUUGCGUUGGAAACUGUAUAACUAGAGUACUGGAGAGGUAAGCAGAACUACAAGUGUAGAGGUGAAAUUCGUAGAUAUUUGUAGGAAUGCCGAUGGGGAAGCCAGCUUACUGGACAGAUACUGACGCUGAAGCGCGAAAGCGUGGGUAGCAAACAGG